AAUCAGGUGGGAUACAAGAUAACAGUGGCCAUGACGACAAUGUCAACGGUGACUCACCAGGAGCUUGCUCAGUGCCGGCAACGGUGAGCUCUGAGUUCUCUUUUAUUAGAAUUUUUUAUCUGCCCAAGUAACUCAAGCUCUCAGAACAAGUUAAACAAUACAGAGACAUAGAAAGAAAAACCUGCCGUCAGCCAUCCUGCAAGGCCUCCUCCCUUCCCCAGCGCUGCCAGGCAAGCAUGCAAUCCUUCCGGACACCGACACACAGAACCCCAGCUCUCCUUCGGGUGCGAUCCUGUGAUCCGGAGAGGCCCAGCCAUGUGUCUCAGGUCCCCACGGGUCAGAGGCUGCAGGCCCAGCCUGGCUGUCCUCUCCCGUUGGCACCUGCCAGCCUGCGGGAGACACACAUCCAGGAAGACCACUGAGUCCUGUUCCUUGACCACAGGAGGGAAACUGAGGCCCAGAGAAGGCAGGUGACAUCCGACAUCACAUGGUGACUCGACGGCCGAGACAGGGCUGUGGAGAUGGAACCCCUUGCGCCCACGACUGGACGGUUCACGGGGUUCUGUCGUACCUACCACAUUCACUCACUCAUUCGUUCGCUCAUUCAGGCCCAAACCCCCUGGGCUCUGUGUUCACAUCCUCCGGCUGCUGCAACAAAGGAUUACAAGCUUCAGCAUGCAAGAACGUGAACCCGUUUCCUUGCAGGUCUGGAGGCCGGAGUUUGAAGUGGGUCGGCGGGGUGGCUCCUUCCAGAGGCUCCAGGGGGGACCCGCGUCCUCGUCUUCCCACCUUCCCUGUGAUGACAUCUAGGGUCCACUCAGAUAUUCCAGGAUAAUCUCCCAUCUCAGGAUCUUUAACUUGAUCCCAUCAGCAAAGUCCCCUUUGCCAUGGAAGGUCACAUAGCCAGAGGUUCUGGAGAUGAGGACACAGACAUCCUUGGGUGUGAUUCUCCAAAGGAGGCAGCCCAGGGCUGUGGAUAGCAAAUCGGUCAGGAUUCAUUCAGUUCAAGUUUCGGAACCUUCCUUCCAGAAGGCAGUAAACGAUAAGGCCACUUAGUAUCUCCCUCGGCAGGAAAUCUAGCCAAAGGGUGGCUCCAGGGGGGUUCACGUGCAGGCUCAAGAACAACAGCAUUAAGGACACAGGCUCUUUCUCCCCGUCGUCGUCAUCCUCAUCUUCAGUUCCUCCUGGUCCCAAGAGAGCUGCUACAGCUCCAGGUGUCACGUCCUCACACAUGCUUGACCAAACAGGCCAGCAGGAGAGCCUCGCUGACGCUUCACCACCUUUUAAGGGCUUGCCGGCUCAGCUCAGGCCUACCCAGAUAAUCUCCGUUGAUUAAGUCAAACUCAACUGAUUAAGGGCCGAACCAUCAUAUUCACACUCAAGAGGAGGGAGUUAAUCAAGGGUUUGGUCACCGGCGGUCAUCUGAUAGUCCUGUCUGUCCGUGGAGAAGUGAGUGACGGCUGCCCAGUACACACUUGCCUGCCUGGGACACACCCUCCCCAGCCCGCCCCUCGCACAGGGCCUGCCUUCUCGUCCUCCCAUCUGAGCUGAGCCCCUGCUUCUUCCAGAAAGUCCUGCCUGAGCCCCGAGGCAGGUCAGAAGCCCCCUCGGGCCCCACCACAUGCUUCCUCCAUCUCCUGCAUCUCCCGGGCUGCCGCAGCUCCACAGACAUCAUUCUGCAGAGCCUGCACGGCAGCCGUAGCGGGAGGGACUGCCACCGCCAUUCACAGGCCAAGGGGACUUGGGAGGGGAAGAUGGCUUCCUGAGGUCAGGUGGGGACACCUGGUCAACCCGACCCCUGAUUCUGGGGUUGAGGCCAGGCCCAGGAGGGC
This 1832-nucleotide long non-coding RNA is filed under the name Equus caballus (horse). Its description in RNAcentral is "lncRNA (ENSECAG00000043876.1)". The record is from RNAcentral. Lineage: Eukaryota; Metazoa; Chordata; Mammalia; Perissodactyla; Equidae.